RNAcentral lists this transfer RNA (77 nucleotides) under Pseudomonadota bacterium. Its description in RNAcentral is "Proteobacteria bacterium tRNA-Arg". It matches the Rfam family "tRNA". Rfam says of the family: Transfer RNA (tRNA) molecules are approximately 80 nucleotides in length. Their secondary structure includes four short double-helical elements and three loops (D, anti-codon, and T loops). Further hydrogen bonds mediate the characteristic L-shaped molecular structure. tRNAs have two regions of fundamental functional importance: the anti-codon, which is responsible for specific mRNA codon recognition, and the 3' end, to which the tRNAs corresponding amino acid is attached (by aminoacyl-tRNA synthetases). tRNAs cope with the degeneracy of the genetic code in two manners: having more than one tRNA (with a specific anti-codon) for a particular amino acid; and 'wobble' base-pairing, i.e. permitting non-standard base-pairing at the 3rd anti-codon position. The record is from RNAcentral. Lineage: Bacteria; Pseudomonadati; Pseudomonadota.
GCCCCGGUAGCUCAGUUGGAUAGAGCGUCCCCCUCCUAAGGGGAAGGUCGCAGGUUCGACUCCUGCUCGGGGCGCCA